This is a long non-coding RNA of Labeo rohita (rohu), 1073 nucleotides long. RefSeq lists it as uncharacterized. Lineage: Eukaryota; Metazoa; Chordata; Actinopteri; Cypriniformes; Cyprinidae. The transcript is spliced from 5 exons. The record is from RefSeq and is a predicted model, not a curated record.
AAGCAAUUGUGCUUACACCUUGAUUAUUACUGUAAUAAUUUAUUUAAGUGCCCCAAGUAGUUUUAAGAGGCUGUGAAUAGACGACCUCGUCUAGUCAAGCAUUACCCAUUAAAAAUAAAUAAAUAAGUAAAUAAAUAAAUAAAAACAGGAAAUCGUAAUGAAAUACAAGUAAUUUGUAUUUACAUCUUGUUUAAUGAAUAUUCACAAAGUGCUGUGUGGUUAAGUGAUUGCAAAGCCACUGAAUUUUAGUCAUAAUUCUAACCGUUUUCCUUAAAUUGCAAUACGAUUUUAUUAUUUUAAGUUUAUGCAUAUACAUAUAAAACAAAUAUCUCCAGUCACCAUUUGAAGUCUGAGUUGGGUGUAGAUUGCCAAAACUGUGCUGCCAAGAUGUUGUAACAAAUCUCGCGAUAGGAUAGAUUAUCUCGCGAUGGGAUAGAUUAUCUCGCAAUACAAUACAUUAUCUCGCGAGAAAGCUUUAACACGUUUUUAUCUUUCCAUAACCACAAGGAGAGCGCGUUGUUGUGUUGCAAAGCUUUACGAAUUAUUAAAAAAUCUACUGGUGGUGGAUGCACAACAUGACACCAUCAACGUCAACAACACUCGUGGACCCGUGGACACAUGUUGAGGUGGUCACAUAACGAACAGCCAUCUGUCAGGCCAUGUGCCACAACCGAACAAGUAUUGUCUCCAGUCCCAAAUGCUUCAUUGCCAUCCCAGUCCCAGAGGACCCCCCAGUAUGCUCUGAAGAGGUGGAGUCCAACUGCCACAGACUCCAAAAUUGAUGCAUCAAUGGCGGAACACCUAAAACACGCUCCAGGAAGAGCUGGGGGUGGUGGUUAUAAGAAAUAAGCUGUUUUGAGAGACAUUUACAUGUGUGUUUACAUUAAUCCAGUAUUUUUGUUUUAUACUUGUUUGAUUUAUAGCUGUUUAAAAUUAAUGCAAAACUGUUUAAAUUAAAAAAAUUGAGUACUGCCACAAUAAUAAUGCUUCUGGAAGAGCAGGUGCUUGUGGAGCAACAAAAUGAUAGUAAACAUUUUGGAAUAAUGAUAAAUAAAUAAAAGAUUAUAAAUAUA